Non-coding RNA from Equus caballus (horse), 2883 nucleotides. The record is from RefSeq and is a predicted model, not a curated record. Lineage: Eukaryota; Metazoa; Chordata; Mammalia; Perissodactyla; Equidae.
UGCUGGUCGUGGUCUUAUCUAUUAUUCUUUCUGUCCCAGUUGUCUGGAACUACUUGUUAAUACCUUUGUCCCCAAAGCCCCACAAUCCCAGAAGCAGCUCUAGUUAAUAUAGAGGAUUGAAAGGGGAGGGUACACGCUUGUCUUGGAGUCCACAGAGCAAGCUCACAGUUUUUGCUUACAUUGCUUAUUUAAGGUGCCUCUGAAACGAGCUACAGGAGAUUAUGGGGGGCACCCAGCCCCCCUCGGGCUCCUUCCUGGUGCACAUUCCCCUCUAGCUCACCCUCUGAAAGUUUAAAGACCCUGUUUCCUCUAACAGGAUGUUCUGCGCUCUUAUCCACCCUCGAAAAUUUGUAUUCAUUGUUCAGAAUUCGGCCCAGACCUUGCCUCCUCCUCCCUGAAGACUCUCCAGAAAGAAUUACUCCCUUUGACUUCGGUCCCUGCACGCGUACACACUAUUAUAUACACCGUCACAAGGCGGUGUAGAUAUUGCUUCCUGGGUUCGACCCCCGUGGACUGUGAACUGAGUUCCCGCCGCGUCUUUCGGUCCUCAAGGUUCACACAGCCUUUCUUCUACUUCUGUAAUCCGACAUCUAGAAUCAUCUAUCAACUUCGACGAACGGGCUAGACAUUCAAUAACUGCUUGUGGAAAUGAAACCAAAAGGAGAACCGAGACUUCACGUCGCCAGGCUCCUGACUCACUUCCGCCCGGAGUGCAGCCUAGCCACCUGCCUAACCCACUUACGGGGCCCCGCGUCUCAGAGGCCCGGUUCCGCCCGCAGCUUUCGCGCGGGCCACCUGCCGCGGGGUCGGGACUGCACCGGCGAGCAGGUGGCCAGCAGAGCGCAGUUAUGCAGGGCCGAGUCUGGCCAGUGCCUGGCAGGUGAGCAGAGGAAGGAAUUCUGACUCCCAGUCUGAUCUGCGUCCUGGACUUGAUGGAGCCAGACAAGUCCAUAGGAAGGAGGGGGUUACCCUGGAGUCUUUCCCGGAAUCACGGCGCGGGCGGAACUUCCCCUGGGGAGUAAGUAUGGAAUACUUUUGUUAUCAGAAAAAAAUAAACAUUUUGGGGAGAAAUUCUAGGUGGCAAGAUGGAAGAGUUUUAACAAAGGCCUGGACGCACAGAGGAGGUGAGUGGGAAGACCUCAUCGAUCUCACAGCCUGUCCUACUGCAGCUGUGGGGAGAAGCAAAAGUGGGAGGGGUGACACCAGCUUGGACAUGAGCAGUGUCCAUGACAGGGCUUGAGGUGGUGGCUUGUGGUUCCAGGACUCCUUCUGCUGGGGGAGUCUGACCCAGUGUCGCCCAUGGACAGAGAAACUAUGGAUGUAGUCAGGCGCCAGUAGCUCUGUGACUAGGCUGAUUACUAAGAUUGACGAUCAGGACUUCUAGAGUUUCUACAGUGAUUUCCUAUACGUUAUUUCUUUUGAUCCUUAUAGCAACUGAGAUAAGGACCAUUAUUACCCCAUGGCAUCAACAAGGAAAAUGAAUCUGUAUUAGUAAAGGUAACACUAGAUGCAGUAACACCCAAAAUUAUCAAUGGCUCAACACAGUAAGUUUUUUCCCUAGUCACAGAACAGUCAUGUCUACAGACCACUUCUGGUGUGGUGGCCUUUCACAUGGCAUUUGGGGACCCAAGUCCCUUCCACCUAGAGGAGGUGCUCAGAGCCUUCUCUUCCCCUCCAGCAGGUAGGGAGAAGCCUGUGGAGGUUACAACUGGCCAGGCCUGGAUGUGGCAUAUGUGCCUUCCAUGUACAUCCCAUUGGCUAGAAUCAGUCCCGGGACCGCUGCUAGCUUCCCGUGCCUAGGAGAAAGGAAGCUAUCUGAGGGAGAGCUAGCAAUCUCUGCCAGAGUCCAAAGAGCGUAAAGUCAUUGGCUGAAGGUCACACAGCUAGUAAGAGACACAGCAAAGAUUCCAAAUCAGGGCUGAGUCUCAGUGUUGUCCAUCUUGAGGCUCUGCCCUCUUCCAGACCCUCGAAGUCCUUUCCCCUCCGGAAUGUUCUCUAGUCUCCUGCUACUAGCAUCCAUCUAGGGCACUGAGGCUGAAGUGGUCAUUGGGGAGGGUAAGAAAGCCUGAUGAAAACAUGUUAAAUAUAGUUUUGAGGCUUCCCAGACCUGUCAAUAAUCCUUGUGCAAUCUUUUCUUCCCAGGUUUUCCUGCUUUGAUUAACUUCUGCAACUCCCCAUUAAACAUUAAAAGUGAAGCAGACACCAGUUUUAAGGCCGUUUUCAUUACUGUGCUUAUGACGUAUGCCAUCAUUUAUGGGUUGUUUUUGCAAGGCUUCAGAGGCUCCUCCCUGUGUCUCGGCCGCUUACAGCAGUCGGAUCUGCUGCCUGGCGGGGGACGGUGCUCGGCUCUGCCCCUGUUCUGACGGAAACACGAGGAAUCAGGCAGGAAGACACUACACUUGAGCUCAUAGUUCACAGGAUGAAUGCUUAUUGGAAAUACUGGAAUUUCUGGGGCCAGCUCUCCAAAAUGCAGUAAGAAUUUAUCACGGUCUCCACCCACCUCCUGACAAGGGCUGGAGGACAUCAGUAUAGGAGGGAGAGAACGUGCCACCUGGAAUCAGAGACCUGAGUAGCAGUCCCACCACACACCAGCUGUCGCACUUCAUGCAGCUUCUCCGCUCUGAGCCUCGGGUUCCUUAACUGUGAACUGGAGAUACCCAUGAUAUGCCGACUUCCCUCACCAUCCUGUGAGAUCUGAUGGAGUGGAGCCCACUGCAAAUUGUACAGUUCUGUGUGAUUGUUUUUACUAUCCAAACCACAAUCCAUUGCCCGGCAGUUCUUCAAAUAGGAGACAGAUUUCCUUCCCUUGGCGAUGAUCAUGACUAAUAUAUUCCGGGAUGUGUUGCAUUUUCCUGGCCUUAAAAUAAAACUGAGCCAAACAAG